This 490-nucleotide long non-coding RNA is filed under the name Equus caballus (horse). Its description in RNAcentral is "lncRNA (ENSECAG00000051232.1)". The record is from RNAcentral. Lineage: Eukaryota; Metazoa; Chordata; Mammalia; Perissodactyla; Equidae.
AGAGAGCUUCUGGGUGGGUGAACACAUGGAGAUUUGGGCAGAGUGCUGCUCCCAGAGAGCAUGGAAGCUCCAUGCCCCUUCCCGCAUAACUUGCCCCAUGCCUCUCUUCCAUCUGGCUGUUCCUGAGCUAUAUCCUUUUAUAAUAAACCAGUGAGCUAGAAGAUCAGCCCAGAGCUAACAUCUGUGCCCAUCUUCUUCUAUUUUAUACGUGGGACACCCACACAACAUGGCUUGAUAAGCGGUGUGCAGGUCCGCGCCAGGGAUCCGAACCGGCGAACUCCAGACUGCUGAAGUGGAGUGUGAACUUAACCACUGAGCCACUGGGCCAGCCUCAAAUUUAUUUUUAACUAUGUGUUGAACAAGAGGAAGAAGAGCAAGCCUGGCCUUUCUGGAUAAGGGAUGUGUAGCAGUUGGAUCCAAUCACUACCCACAGCCUCUUCACCAGGCGUAGAUUCCAUGCCAGGAAAUCACAUUCUGAGAGGUGACAUCA